This 252-nucleotide ribosomal RNA is filed under the name uncultured bacterium. RNAcentral describes it as "partial 16S ribosomal RNA". It matches the Rfam family "Bacterial small subunit ribosomal RNA", at positions 524 to 776 of the family's 1533-position model. The record is from RNAcentral.
UACGUAGGGGGCGAGCGUUGUCCGGAAUUACUGGGCGUAAAGGGUUCGUAGGCGGCUUGGCAAGUCCGAUGUAAAAGGCAGUAGCUUAACUACUGUAAGCAUUUGAAACUGCAUAUCUUGAGAAGAGUAGAGGUAAGUGGAAUUUUUAGUGUAGCGGUGAAAUGCGUAGAUAUUAAAAAGAAUACCGGUGGCGAAGGCGACUUACUGGGCUCAUUCUGACGCUGAGGAACGAAAGCGUGGGUAGCAAACAGG